Molecule: unclassified non-coding RNA, 589 nt
Filed under: Hevea brasiliensis (rubber tree)
Lineage: Eukaryota; Viridiplantae; Streptophyta; Magnoliopsida; Malpighiales; Euphorbiaceae
Source: RNAcentral
GGGGGUCAUUUAGACUUUGAUAAUGGCAAUGAAUCUAUUUAGGAAAAGAAGAAGCAGAAGGUGGAGAUUUUCUUUCUAGCACUCUUUGCAAUCUCAAAGAGUUUAAAUACAAGGCUAAAGAAAAAGAGUAAUUCCAAUUUCGAUUAAAUUCCCGUCAUACGUCGUUGUCUCGUCACUUUGCUCUACAUUUCAAGGACUGCAGAGGUUCUUAAGAUCCUCCUCUUUUGCAUACCAACCUGGUAAUAUCUUCGACACGUGUGGGUAGAGAUCUUUAUAUGAAUUUCUGAUUGUCCCUUCUGCAACACCGGUAGCUACCGAGAUAUCUUUCAGAGGCUUCUUAUCAUCUGAAAGUUGAGUAAUAAUGUAAAUAACUGCUGCUGCAAUGGAAAUUGGGCUUCUCCUAAUAUCAAACUCUUCAGAUUUCUGUACAGCUUCUUGGGCAGCUUUAACAGCUUGAUUAUUCAUCCCAAGAUUAGAACAAAAACGCCUCAUAAAGUCUCCAGCGUGUAUUGUUCCCAUCUCCACAGACUGGCCUGUCUCCAACCCCAACUGUUUCACAAUGUAUUCUUUUGCUCGGCCAAUCUCCUUC